Long non-coding RNA from Populus euphratica (Euphrates poplar), 565 nucleotides. RefSeq lists it as uncharacterized. Lineage: Eukaryota; Viridiplantae; Streptophyta; Magnoliopsida; Malpighiales; Salicaceae. The record is from RefSeq and is a predicted model, not a curated record. The transcript is spliced from 3 exons.
UUUACCAAGGGCAAAUUUUAUAAUAUUACCCGCACCAAAUUAUUUUCAUGUUCCCGGCUUCAAAAUCAAAACCGGUGGUUCUGCGCGCGAUUACUGCGGCAGCCCCAGAGCGAUUUUAGAGUUAACUACCAACCGGAUUUUUCACCUUCCUGGCUUCCAUUGACGCUGAUCUGAUUGAUCAACGAAUCCGUUACUUUGCUUCACUUUGUUAUUGGAGGAUCAUACUGGAGCCACAUCCAAUGGUAUAGAUUCUGCUGGUCCAUGAAAACAGGCGUCAUCAUCUUUUCUUGAAACUUAAGCAGCAAGUCUUCUAAGAUGGUCAUAUGACUGCUUGCCAAAUUCAGAAACUCUCAAUAUCAGUCUUCUAGAGCUUGAAAAUGAUAGAUUACGUAUAAGAAUAAUUAUUAAUUGUAAUAGCAAUAGAGCAACAUCAGUACUAAUCAUGCAUGCCAGUUGAGAUCAGACUGAUAUAUCUAGUCACUGCGUGCAAACCUAUCCUUCGACUAUGACAUGUACAUGUUGCUUCUAAAAGGUUUUUCACGGGCUCUAUGCAGAAAUUACUUUA